AACGAACGCUGGCGGCAUGCCUAACACAUGCCAGUCGAACGAGACCUUCGGGUCUAGUGGCGCACGGGUGCGUAACGCGUGGGAACCUGCCCUUAGGUUCGGAAUAACUCCCCGAAAGGGGUGCUAAUACCGGAUAAUGUCUUCGGACCAAAGAUUUAUCGCCUUUGGAUGGGCCCGCGUUGGAUUAGCUAGUUGGUAGGGUAAAAGCCUACCAAGGCGACGAUCCAUAGCUGGUCUGAGAGGAUGAUCAGCAACACUGGGACUGAGACACGGCCCAGACUCCUACGGGAGGCAGCAGUGGGGAAUAUUGGACGAUGGGCGAAAGCCUGAUCCAGCAAUGCCGCGUGAGUGAUGAAGGCCUUAGGGUUGUAAAGCUCUUUUACCCGGGAUGAUAAUGACAGUACCGGGAGAAUAAGCUCCGGCUAACUCCGUG
Molecule: ribosomal RNA, 433 nt
Filed under: uncultured bacterium
Lineage: Bacteria
Description: partial 16S ribosomal RNA
Rfam family: Bacterial small subunit ribosomal RNA
Source: RNAcentral